CAGAACAACAAAAUGUUAUGUUCCAAUCAACUGAGUAUUUUAAGCACAAAAGCUUAUAUUUUCACCUGAAAACCAGUGUUCCGGUUUUUGUUGUUGUCAGUUUGUUACUUGGUUUGAGUUAUUUUUUAAUGUUUAUUUGGAGAUUUUGUUUUGUUUUUAUUACUGUUUCACAGAUUUUCAUUUUUCUUCCUUGCUUGGUAGAAAUGGCUUCUUUUGAAUCACAAACAGAAUAUCCCUUCAGCCACCAGUAACUCAAAUCCUUGGUAAAACCAGCUCCUUGCUAAAUUCAUCACAAGCCACAGAUACAAACACCCCCCAAAAAAUGUACUACUUCUCUAGGUGCAGGCUGCAGCUUGGGGAAGGGCUUUGAUUGCCGGAUGUGAGACAGCAUUUUGUGAAGUGACUGGAGCAAGGGGAAACUUUGGCUAUGAAGACUUUCCUUGCAGACACACCCUCCAUGCCAGCCACUUGCAGGGAAUCAAUUGUCCCAGCUAACCCUCCAGAGGAAUUUCCUUCCCUUUGGAAAACUCAGCUCAGAUUCCGUCUGUGGUUUUCAGCAAGAAUACUGCUUUCCCCUUCUUCCCGCAUAAUUUUCCAGCCAGAUUGACUGAACUGCAGAAAGGUCAAAUGACUUACUUGGAGGUCCCUUCAGAUUGUCAUCGAGUUGCCCUCAAUAUGAGCUGAAGAGAGGUCUGGUCCCUGUACUGCAGCCGGAGACACAGAGAUCGGGUUUCCAGAACGCUAGCAAUCCCCAGCUUGCCGCAAAGUCAGAUGGAGAUGAGUGGCCAUGGAGACCACUCAGGAAGAAAAAGGAAAUAAAGAAGAGUGACAGUUUACAGGGGAAGAGUCGUGUGAAAUAUCAGCAGAGCAGCAUCAGUGGUGGCACAGAGGGAAAAGCCCCACAACAGAAGUGCCCCCAAAUCGUCACACACCAAUGUCCAUGACUUCAUGAGCAGCAGCAACUCAGGUAAGCAUGUGCUUUGCAGAUAGACAAAGCCCAGUCUGUGUACAGGUUUUUUUCCUAGUGGCUGUGAAAUUCAGAGGUGGGAGAGAAACCUGGGCUGUAUCAUAGACUGCCGGUGGUCCACCCCCUCCACCCAGCCCUGUAGACCGUCCAAAACAUUGUCAUUGCACCCCAGAAGGCAAGCAGACCUGGGAUAGAUCCAGAAUGGAUUACAACAUAAUCCAAUUCACAGGGAGGGGUAUUUUUGAAAGAGGAUUAUGGGUUUUUUUUGUUUUUUUUUUUUUUUCUGGCUGCCUGCCAGAAAAUAAAUAAAUGCUGUAACUCUCAUGUAAUGUUUUUAGAAGGUAUGGCAAUGGAAAGAGAAGGCUCUUUUCCAUGUCCAUGUUAGAGAGCAGGAGGAAGAAAGCUGAUUUUUGCAGCAGUGUGCCAAGCAAUCUCAGAGUAUGCAAGUUAGAAAUGCUGGUGUUUCCCACUGAGCGUUCAAGAACAGUAUGAAUCUGAAGAAAAUGGUGCUUCAUUUCUAAUCAGAACAAUGUAAUAUGGGUGUUGGGUCUGCAUCCCAGCAUCAAAAGGCCUCCUCCUGAACCCUUUGUGACCUUCAGGGAGGUUUGCAUAAUUAGCUUGAUUAAAUACAGCACAAUUUUAGCACCAGGGACCAAAACCCACAAAUUACCGAGGCUCGCAUGUUUUGCAAAAUAAUACCAUUCAUGUGAUUAUUUGUUUUGCUCUAAUCAUUUUUGAAAUAUUAUUCCAUUGCUUAGAUUUGAAUUGCUGGUUGUAACAGAUAGCCGGUUUGCAAAUAAAAUGUAAGUCCCUACAAAAAUGUUUCCAUUGCUUGAGAAAAUGUUAUUGGAGUUCCCUGGAGUUACAGUGAUGAGCUUGGUUAUUUGUAUUAAGGGGUACAACUGAAUAAGGCCUGAAGCAAGUUUUUCCAACUGUGUAUGCUGUCAUUUCGCUGGGCCUUCUUCGGGCUUUGCUUUCAUCAUUUUGAUUUUAGUGAGUUAAUCUCUAAUUUUCAGGGUGGGAAACCCAAUAUAAGCCAGACCCAGGAUACAGGAUAAUAUGUAGCUGGACUUCCAUAUCCAGAGAGAAUCAGGUCUUCCUGCAGAGAACACUCUGGGGUCUGCUUUCUUUCACGUUCCCAAGGGGUGCAUGUGGGAUCUGUAAUGGAGGGAACCGCUAUUCCAGUUCUCCCUGGGUCACAUAGGGUAGAAAUCAAGCAGGCAGUGCAUCCCCCAAAGCACGGCGAGAGAGGAAAUACCUGCCAGUUGAGGUAAAGGAUAGGCAGCCCUUCAGGCAGGUGACUCAGCUACCUCCUGCAUGCUAAAAGCAGUCUGUCUUGUUGUUUUCUCCCUACUCUCACAAGAGGCAGUAAUUUCUCACUGCCUGGGGGUGGAGGACAGAAGAAUGCUCAGAAUGUCCCAGGCCCAGACAGAGAGCUUUUUUUAUAGGAUCCUUGUCCUCUGCCAAGCACCGUUUUUCCACACAGCUUUGGCAUGGGGUGGCUGUGGGUCCCUGCUCAUCCACUGGCCUAUUUUGACUCUCACUGACAUACUCUGCAUCUUUCAGUCAGUGAAAAAGAGAAAUCAGGCAAGUGUUCUGGGUGAACAUGAUCCAGUUCGUGCGUAUACUUAGCUGUGUCAGACUGAGUUCGCAUCUAGCUUCUCCUCCGUCUGGCCCCUGAUCGCUUCCAGACUGAAGAACCCUCAGCUUGCAAAGUAUUUCAAGUAAUUCUGCCCUUGUCCACAUGGUAUCUACAGCCUCACUGUCAGCUGUCUUGCUGCACAGAUUUCUGCAACCCUCUGCUGUUAGCACACCCG
Long non-coding RNA from Gallus gallus (chicken), 2784 nucleotides. RefSeq lists it as uncharacterized. Lineage: Eukaryota; Metazoa; Chordata; Aves; Galliformes; Phasianidae. The record is from RefSeq and is a predicted model, not a curated record. The transcript is spliced from 5 exons.